Molecule: ribosomal RNA, 1350 nt
Filed under: uncultured bacterium
Lineage: Bacteria
Description: bacterial SSU rRNA
Rfam family: Bacterial small subunit ribosomal RNA
Source: RNAcentral
AUUGAACGCUGGCGGCAUGCCUUACACAUGCAAGUCGAACGGUAACAGGUCUUCCGAUGCUGACCAGUGGCGAACAGGUGAGUAAUACGUCUAAACGUGCCCAUACGUGGGGGAUAACAAGGCCAAAGCUUUGCUAAUACCCCAUACAAUCUAAAGAUGAAAGCACGGGACCUCAAGGCCUUGCGCGUUUGGAGCGGACGAUGGCACAUUAUGUACUUGGUGGGAUAAAAACUUACCAAGCCGACGAUCAUGUGCUGGUCUGAGAGGACGACCAGCCACCCUGGGACUGAGACACCGCCCACACUCCUACUGGAGGCAGCAGUGGGGAAUUUUGGACAAUGGGCGAAAGCCUGAUCCACCAAUGCCGCGUGCAGGAUGAAGGCCUUCUGGUUGUAAACUGCUUUUGUACGGAACGAAGAGGCUCUGGUUAAUACCUGUGGCACAUGACGGAACCGUAACAAUAAGCACCGGCUAACUACGUGUCAGCAGCCGCGGUAAUACAUACGGAGCGAGCGAUAAUCGGAAUUACUGGCCGUAAAUCGUGCGCACGCAGUUUUGUAAUACAGACGUAAAAUCCCCGGGCUCAACCUGGGAACUGCCUUUGUGACUGCAAAGCUGGAGUGCGGCAGAGGGGGAUGGAAUUCCGCGUGUAGCAGUGAAAUGCGUAGAUAUGCGGAGGAACACCGAUGGCGAAGGCAAUCCCCUGGGCCUGCACUGACGCUCAUGCACGAAAGCGUGGGGAGCAAACAGGAUUAGAUACCCUGGUAGUCCACGCCCUAAACGAUGUCAACUGGUUGUUGGGUCUUAACUGACUCAGCAACGAAGCUAACGCGUGAAGUUGACCGCCUGGGGAGUACGGCCGCAAGGUUGAAACUCAAAGGAAGUGGCGGGGCCCCGCACAAGCGGCGGAUGAUGUGGUUUAAUUCGAUGCGCACGCGAAAAACCUUACCACCUUUGACAUAUACGGAAUCCUUGAGAGAUAGAGGCGUGCUCGAAAGAGAGCCCUAACACAGCUGGUGCAUGGCUGUCGUCAGCUCGGGUCGUGAGAUGUUGGGUUAAGUCCCGCAACGAGCGCAACCCUUGCCAUUAGUUGCUACGAAAGGGCACUCUAAUGGGACUGCCGGUGACAAACCGGAGGAAGGUGGGGAUGACGUCAAGUCCUCAUGGCCCUUAUAGGCGGGGCUACACACGUCAUACAAUGGUUGGUACAGAGGGUUGCCACCCCGCGAGGGGGAGCCAAUCCCAUAAAGCCAGUCGUAGUCCGGAUCGCAGUCUGCAACUCGACUGCGUGAAGUCGGAAUCGCUAGUAAUCGCGGAUCAGAAUGUCGCGGUGAAUACGUUCCCGGGUCU